UUUAUAUAUUUUUUUUAUUUCGAAGGCUAAAGAAUAAUUACACAAAUUAUGUGGUGAAAGGAUGGUAAUCGGUCACUGCAAUUCAUGGACGAUGCAGUGAGUCUACUGUUGCGAAUAAUUACUUAUCCGAAUAAAGUUUUGACACUAAUAUAUUAUAUCAGUUAUGAAUUAUCAUAUUAAAUCUGUUAUUCAAAUGAUUAGAUUGAAAAUAUGGAUAAAACAAAAAUUAUAAUAUAAUCUGAUGAUUCUUAAUUUAGAAAAAUUUCUUGAAGGUAGAUGAUCGAAAGUCGUAUGUGUGUAAUUAUAUGAUUUGAUUGAGAGACAACUCUAUAUAUUAAAAAGAAAGAAUUAGCAUAAAAUUGAUUUGGCGGUUCAUGUGAUGACGUGGGGCACCAGGCUCAGGUAAAAAUCCACAGAUAAUCCGGUGUAUGGUCUAUUAACGACGUGGAAGACAUGGUCCACCGGACACUUGGAUGCUUACGUGUUGAUUUUCCAUUGGCUCAAUAAACGCAGCAAGGACAUUACCUAUUGUAUAUAAGGAGGAAAUGGAAUUAAUUUUAACACUCAUUCUAUUAAUACUAUGUUUUACACUUUUCUUAAUAAAAAAAAAAGUAAUCACAUAAAUUCUCCUAUAAACUAAAUAUUUUGUUCCUGUUGUGUAAACUAAAUAUUUUGUUUCUUUAGGACAUGACUUACGCGGUUGUAACUUCCGCAAAAAAUUCUAAUCUACGAUGUGUUUGCUUCUCAAUCGAAAAUAAAAAUUAAAAUAAAAUCAAAAUGAGUUGGAAUGGAAAAUAGGAAUUGCUCGAGCUAAUCGCGUGUUUGACACUCAGAGGUUGAAUUAAAA
Molecule: long non-coding RNA, 847 nt
Filed under: Ananas comosus (pineapple)
Lineage: Eukaryota; Viridiplantae; Streptophyta; Magnoliopsida; Poales; Bromeliaceae
Description: long non-coding RNA (ACOM_LNC030992)
Source: RNAcentral